CUCUGUGACUCCUACGGGAGGCAGCAGUGGGAAUAUUGCACAAUGGGGGAAACCCUGAUGCAGCCAUGCCGCGUGUGUGAAGAAGGCCUUCGGGUUGUAAAGCACUUUCAGUAGGGAGGAAGGUAGUGUAGUUAACACCUGCAUUAUUUGACGUUACCUACAGAAGAAGCACCGGCUAACUCCGUGCCAGCAGCCGCGGUAAUACGGAGGGUGCGAGCGUUAAUCGGAAUUACUGGGCGUAAAGCGCAUGCAGGCGGCCUGUUAAGUCAGAUGUGAAAGCCCCGGGGCUUAACCUCGGAAUUGCAUUUGAAACUGGCAGGCUAGAGUCUUGUAGAGGGGGUAGAAUUUCAGGUGUAGCGGUGAAAUGCGUAGAGAUCUGAAGGAAUACCAGUGGCGAAGGCGGCCCCCUGGACAAAGACUGACGCUCAGAUGCGAAAGCGUGGGGAGCAAACAGGAUUAGAUACCCUGGUAG
This 472-nucleotide ribosomal RNA is filed under the name uncultured bacterium. Its description in RNAcentral is "bacterial SSU rRNA". It matches the Rfam family "Bacterial small subunit ribosomal RNA", at positions 328 to 793 of the family's 1533-position model. The record is from RNAcentral.